RNAcentral lists this ribosomal RNA (420 nucleotides) under uncultured bacterium. Its description in RNAcentral is "bacterial SSU rRNA". It matches the Rfam family "Bacterial small subunit ribosomal RNA", at positions 356 to 773 of the family's 1533-position model. The record is from RNAcentral.
AAGGAAUAUUGGUCAAUGGACGAAAGUCUGAACCAGCCAUGCCGCGUGAAGGAUGAAGGCCCUCUGGGUUGUAAACUUCUUUUAUAGGGGACGAAAAAAGCUCAUUCUUGAGCACUUGACGGUACCCUAGGAAUAAGCACCGGCUAACUCCGUGCCAGCAGCCGCGGUAAUACGGAGGGUGCAAGCGUUAUCCGGAUUUACUGGGUUUAAAGGGUGCGUAGGUGGGCAGUUAAGUCAGCGGUGAAAUCUCCGGGCUUAACCCGGAAACUGCCAUUGAUACUAUCUGUCUUGAAUAUCCUGGAGGUGAGCGGAAUAUGUCAUGUAGCGGUGAAAUGCUUAGAUAUGACAUAGAACACCAAUUGCGAAGGCAGCUCGCUACGGGAUUAUUGACACUGAGGCACGAAAGCGUGGGGAUCAAAC